GAGUUUGAUCCUGGCUCAGGACGAACGCUGGCGGCACGCCUAACACAUGCAAGUCGAACGGAGAUAUUUUGGUUUACUGAGAUAUCUUAGUGGCGGACGGGUGAGUAACACGUGAGCAACCUGCCUCUGARAGAGGGAUAGCUUCUGGAAACGGAUGGUAAUACCUCAUAACAUAACGAAGCCGCAUGACUUUGUUAUCAAAGAUUUAUCACUCAGAGAUGGGCUCGCGUCUGAUUAGAUAGUUGGUGAGGUAACGGCUCACCAAGUCGACGAUCWGUAGCCGGACUGAGAGGUUGAACGGCCRCAUUGGGACUGAGACACGGCCCASACUCCUACGGGAGGCAGCASUGGGGAAUAUUGCMCAAUGGGGGAAAC
Molecule: ribosomal RNA, 375 nt
Filed under: uncultured Bacillota bacterium
Lineage: Bacteria; Bacillati; Bacillota
Description: bacterial SSU rRNA
Source: RNAcentral